This 433-nucleotide ribosomal RNA is filed under the name uncultured bacterium. Its description in RNAcentral is "partial 16S ribosomal RNA". It matches the Rfam family "Bacterial small subunit ribosomal RNA", at positions 29 to 507 of the family's 1533-position model. The record is from RNAcentral.
AACGAACGCUGGCGGCAUGCCUAACACAUGCAAGUCGAACGAUCCCUUCGGGGAUAGUGGCGCACGGGUGCGUAACGCGUGGGAACCUGCCCUUAGGUUCGGAAUAACUCAGAGAAAUUUGAGCUAAUACCGGAUAAUGUCUUCGGACCAAAGAUUUAUCGCCUUUGGAUGGGCUCGCGUUGGAUUAGCUAGUUGGUGGGGUAAAGGCCUACCAAGGCGACGAUCCAUAGCUGGUUUGAGAGGAUGAUCAGCCACACUGGGACUGAGACACGGCCCAGACUCCUACGGGAGGCAGCAGUGGGGAAUAUUGGACAAUGGGCGAAAGCCUGAUCCAGCAAUGCCGCGUGAGUGAUGAAGGCCUUAGGGUUGUAAAGCUCUUUUACCCGGGAUGAUAAUGACAGUACCGGGAGAAUAAGCCCCGGCUAACUCCGUG